This is a long non-coding RNA of Anguilla anguilla (European eel), 544 nucleotides long. RefSeq lists it as uncharacterized. The record is from RefSeq and is a predicted model, not a curated record. The transcript is spliced from 4 exons. Lineage: Eukaryota; Metazoa; Chordata; Actinopteri; Anguilliformes; Anguillidae.
UAUAACGUGCUACCUUAGGAAAAAGAACGCUCUGAAUGACAGUAAGAGAAAAGGUCUACACCGCGCAUGGCAUCCUGGGACUUGCAAUUCUGCGAUUUGAGAAACCGCAGCAGAUCUGCUGAUUUUCUCCAAGUUCCAUUUGAACUGUGUGGGAUGAAAAUCACUCCAGCGAAGUGGGCGUCCGGGCUUCGCUGUCCUUCACCCAUUUAAUGCAUUCAGUUGGGUGCACUGCACACAGACCCUUGGAUGGAGCUGAGUGAGAUUUGAAGAAAGAGAGUGAAGUCAGGUGGGAAAAAGAAGGAGAAGAUUUGCGACUGAGGAGACAAACAGAAACCGAUUGAGAGACUGCAGAGAGAGGAGUGUAAGACCAGGAAAGAGAGAGCGAGAGAAGAGAUGGAGAGCAGGUACGGCAGGGUGGGUGGCCAGCCCUUUUUUUUACGCGCGUCCCGGCUGCCAGACCCUGGAGGGCACCGCCACCUCCACACGCGAGAUGAUGAAAGCGCCUCCUUGCACGGCCAAGCGAGCCUGAAAGCCUGAGCUUUAU